RNAcentral lists this long non-coding RNA (1778 nucleotides) under Amborella trichopoda. Its description in RNAcentral is "long non-coding RNA (ATRI_LNC002019)". The record is from RNAcentral. Lineage: Eukaryota; Viridiplantae; Streptophyta; Magnoliopsida; Amborellales; Amborellaceae.
UACCAUCCAGCCGUCCAAUUUUGAUCAAGAGAGGCACUCACCUUUUGAUCUUAUAUCCGACAUAUCAGAGUAUUUUUUUAUUAUUUAUUUUUAUACAAUUGUAUUAAUAUGAAAUUUGGUACAUGCCAUCUUCUCAUUGAGACGCACCCAUAAAAAAUGUUAAAAAUAAUUUUUUGAUAAAAUAUCACGAUCAAAAUACCCCUUGAAACUUUUAGGGGUAUUUUGGUAUUUUAUUUUAUUGAAAAUAUUUUUUUUAUAUUUUUCGCUAGUGCGAAUUUAAUAUAGGAAUAGACAUCCAAAAUUUGGUGUCAAAAUAGUUUAUAGAAAAAAAUUAAAAAUAAAAUAGUGUAGAAACGUAACAUUGUGAUUCGGACAAUCUUAGCUCUCCAUUCAAAAUAGACGAUUGGAUAAGGAAAAGAGAGAACUUCUAUGCUGUAGAUCAUAGAAAGUUUGCCCUUUUUAUAAUUUUAACUUCUAUAAGCAGGGACAAAAAUGGUUUUCAAGUCACCAUUAGUUUUUACCAUAAAACAAGUUUUAGAGGUGUGCCUUACUUCUACGGCAACCUUAUACAAACUUUGACCAAGUAAUAAGAGCUCCAAGCUCCAAACAAGUAGGAUUAGAGAGAGAGAGAGAAGAGAGAAAGGGUCUUGUUUCUUGAGAGAGAGUCAAAUGUCAUUUCCCGAGAGAGAUCACAUGGCUGCAGAUAUGUUGUCUUCAAUAGAUUAGAGAGAGUGAGAGGAGAAAGAAAAGAACACAUGGCUUCAAAGUCAGUGUCAAAACUCAAAAGGAUUAGAGCACAUGGCAACGAAAACGGAGAAAUAUGCAAAGAGGCCAUUUAUUUUUUCAUGACCUCAUCCAUGGUUCUCUCCUUGUAAGACGGGUUUUAACGUUUAUUCUGAUACCUCAAUCAUCAAAAUAACAUUAAUGCUAAUAAAAUAAUUUUUACAGUCAAAAUUUUGCAGAGUAGGGAUUUUCAAAUGAAAGAUUGUUUCAUGUGAGCUGUAACGCAUUUCUACAAUACACCAUCUAGAAGUAUAAAUAUUAAAGGUAAAUGCAAAGAGGUGGUUCAUCUAAAAACAAUGGUAAAACAGUCCAAAUGUUUUUUUGCUAUGAUUAUUAUUUCUAUUAUUUUUCAUAUUCGUGAUUUUUUAAAAAUUAAGAUGAAAUUAUAUUUAAAAAAUAUAUUUAUUGCCAAACAUGCAUUUCUACAAUAGGCGGGCUGACCGCAUAAAAACCGUAUCCUUUCCAAAUAUACUCACUAGAAUGAUUAGUGUUUGUAUAGGUAAAUAUGGCCUCACAAGAUCCCGAGUUAAUGCAAAAAAAAGGCGAAGAAAAAGAAAGAUACAACAUAAAGUUUUAUUAAAGCGUGGAGUACGACUUUAUCGACAUGCACAUACGGUAUAAAGGCCUAUUUGGAUGUACUUGUUAUCACUUGUAAUUUACUUUCAAUAAAAUUAUUCCUAAUAAACCAUUUAUUACAGGUUGUGUCCAUGAUAAAAGUAUUUAAGAUAUACAUAUAGCACUUUACAUAUAAGUUUAUCUUUUUAAAAAACCUUUUACUGAAAGUAAUCUGUUGAACAUCAAUUUUUUUACUAAAAAUAGCUAGAUAUUGCUGAAAAAUUAAAUAAUUGAAUAACGUUACGUAUAAGACAAGAUACAUAGCAAACAACCAAAGGAAAUUAUAUUAUCCAGAAUAUUUUUAUAACAACCCCUUGACCAGUUUUUCCAUUCUUUCACUCCAAAAUGAUUCAAAAUAAAAUACACCUGCUAUUUUUAAA